GGGGUUGUGGCUCAGUGGUAGAGCACUUGCCUAGCACGUGUGAGGCACUGGGUUCGAUCCUCAGCAUCACAU
Molecule: transfer RNA, 72 nt
Filed under: Ictidomys tridecemlineatus (thirteen-lined ground squirrel)
Lineage: Eukaryota; Metazoa; Chordata; Mammalia; Rodentia; Sciuridae
Description: Spermophilus tridecemlineatus (thirteen-lined ground squirrel) tRNA
Rfam family: tRNA
About the family: Transfer RNA (tRNA) molecules are approximately 80 nucleotides in length. Their secondary structure includes four short double-helical elements and three loops (D, anti-codon, and T loops).
Source: Rfam by way of RNAcentral